AAAGAAGCAGAAGGAUAUUAAAGUGAGCCUCCCAAAGGAAAACGUGGAUCUACUUACCAACGCAGAAAAUGAUACACACGGAUUCGAUUUAGGCUGGAGUACAGUAACUGCAACCUCCGCCUCCCAGGUUCCGGUGAUUCUCAUGGCUCAGUCUCCCAAGGAGCUGGGAUUACAGGCACGCUACAUUCAAAUGACUUGGAAGAGCAGGUUCUCUGAGCCAGGAUACUAAAGUCCCUGUUUAGGAAAGAGCCACGUUGUAUGUUUACCCUACCACAAAGAUACAGAAUUCUGGAGGAAAGUGGCUCUGGGAAUUGAACAGUGGCUCAGUGAUGUUGGGGCCACCAAGUCUGCAAUUCUCCCUACCUGUUCUUCAUGGUUGUAAGAUGACUGCUGCAAUUCUCGGCAUCAUGUGCAUGUUAAUGUCAGGAGGAAGAAAGGAAGAGGGAGCACUGGGAUGUUACAUUCAUUUUGUCAGGAAAAGCAAAGCCUUUCCAGACAGCUCCGAAACUUGCUUACCUCUCAUUGGCCAGCACCAUCACUUGACCACUUGUCCACUCCUAGCUGCAAGGAAAGUGGCAAAGUAGAAGGUAUUUGAGAAUGUCUGCUGGGUUAGCCAAAACAAUAGUGACUUCUACACCCAAUUUUCUGGGCACUGCAGAAGUAUCCUUGAGUCCUAUGUGAUCAGAGGGAGAGCAAACCUCAAUAAUGAAACAGAUUCAAUUUCCAUCACCCAGUGAGACACCAUGGGAUUAGAAUAAAUUUUUAAAAAAACAAAUUGAAAAAAAUGCAUUUUUAAAACAACAAAAUCAGAAAGGAUGAAAGGUGAUAUUUCUAGCAUAUCAGUUUGUGGUGGUAAAUUAAUUACCUUAUACAAAGGCCUCAGUGACUUUCUUCUCCUUACCUAACGAAUCAUCUUUAAAAUAAGUAAAAUAAAGAAACAAGAGCAGCAGCAGAUGCUUCCUAAAAAGAAGUUACCAAAUCUGUUCACCACAAACCUGAGAAUUCAACUGUGGACAUUUGGACACCAGCAAUGAACAUGAAACUCAGCUUAUGAGGCAUAUUUGGCUAAAGGUCAAGGUGACUUAAAGUUCAUCAUAGGACAUCUACAAUUUGCAAAGCAGGUGACUGGAUAUGGACUCCUUCCAAGUCUCAUUUAAUUGGAUAAUGCCUACGUUUUAAGUAUCAGAAAGGGACCAUAAAGGUGCCAGCCUAAGGAACACGUAAAACGUGGGAACAGACAAACAAGCUGCUGCCUAUUACAGAGAUAGAUAAUUAACUUUGGACCAUUACAUGCAAUUCAUCAGCUUAUCUUUUUCAAACUUUAUAUAAGAAGUCAUUUCCCAAUGGUAACCACUUGCCAGCUGCAACUUUGACGCAUAUUAUCAGGAUAGGUGAGAUUGAUGGGGGCCCUUUGAACUCUUCCCAGGGAAUUAUCUUUAUAAUGUUACAGUUUUCUCUAUAGCAUGGUCAUAUUGUUAACAUUGGUUAUAAGGUCAUAUGGUUAGUAUGGUUAGUAUUGGUGGCUCACAGCUGUAAUACCAGCACUUUGGGAGGCCAAGGUGGGAGGAUCACUUGAGCCCUGGUGUUCAAAACCAGCUCUGGAAACAUAGCAAGACCUUGUCUCUACAAAAAAAAAUUAAAUAAAUUAAAAGAUUAGCUGGGCAUGGUGGCACAUGCCUGUAGUCCUCACUACUUGGGAAACUAAGGUGGGAGGAUCCUUUGAGCUUGGGAGGUUGAGGCUGCAGUGAGCUGUGGUUGUGCCAUGGCACUCCAGCCUG
Molecule: long non-coding RNA, 1778 nt
Filed under: Homo sapiens (human)
Lineage: Eukaryota; Metazoa; Chordata; Mammalia; Primates; Hominidae
Description: long intergenic non-protein coding RNA 1094
Source: RNAcentral